UGUUAAAAAUUUAAUCCAAUCUUAAAAACUGGUGUGGCUGAUGAAAUAAUCUAAUAAUGACGUGAUGUGUCAUGUGUACCUCAUACUAAUGUAUAAGGACCAGUUUUUAAUAGUAGAAAUAGAUGAAAUUUUUAAUA
This is a microRNA precursor of Gossypium arboreum, 137 nucleotides long. It matches the Rfam family "MIR7502 microRNA precursor family". Lineage: Eukaryota; Viridiplantae; Streptophyta; Magnoliopsida; Malvales; Malvaceae. The record is from Rfam.